Molecule: ribosomal RNA, 908 nt
Filed under: Rhodonia placenta
Lineage: Eukaryota; Fungi; Basidiomycota; Agaricomycetes; Polyporales; Adustoporiaceae
Description: LSU rRNA
Rfam family: Eukaryotic large subunit ribosomal RNA
Source: RNAcentral
CUAACAAGGAUUCCCCUAGUAACUGCGAGUGAAGCGGGAAAAGCUCAAAUUUAAAAUCUGGCGGUCUUUGGCCGUCCGAGUUGUAGUCUGGAGAAGUGCUUUCCGCGCUGGACCGUGUACAAGUCUCUUGGAACAGAGCGUCAUAGAGGGUGAGAAUCCCGUCUUUGACACGGACUACCAGUGCUUUGUGAUGCGCUCUCAACGAGUCGAGUUGUUUGGGAAUGCAGCUCAAAAUGGGUGGUAAAUUCCAUCUAAAGCUAAAUAUUGGCGAGAGACCGAUAGCGAACAAGUACCGUGAGGGAAAGAUGAAAAGCACUUUGGAAAGAGAGUUAAACAGUACGUGAAAUUGCUGAAAGGGAAACGAUUGAAGUCAGUCGCGUUGGCCGGAACUCAGCCUUGCUUCCGCUUGGUGUAUUUUCUGGUUGACGGGCCAGCAUCAGUUUUGAUCGUUGGAUAAAGGCUGGGGGAAUGUGGCACCUUCGGGUGUGUUAUAGCCCUCGGUCACAUACAACGGCUGGGACUGAGGAUCGCAGCACGCCUUUAUGGUCGGGGUUCGCCCACGUAUGUGCUUAGGAUGCUGGCAUAAUGGCUUUAAACGACCCGUCUUGAAACACGGACCAAGGAGUCUAACAUGCCCGCGAGUGUUUGGGUGGAAAACCCGAGCGCGUAAUGAAAGUGAAAGUUGAGAUCCCUGUCAUGGGGAGCAUCGACGCCCGGACCUGAACUUCUGUGACGGCUCUGCGGUGGAGCGUGUAUGUUGGGACCCGAAAGAUGGUGAACUAUGCCUGAAUAGGGUGAAGCCAGAGGAAACUCUGGUGGAGGCUCGUAGCGAUUCUGACGUGCAAAUCGAUCGUCAAAUUUGGGUAUAGGGGCGAAAGACUAAUCGAACCAUCUAGUAGCUGGUCCUG